GCUCACAGUUUCCCCCAGUCUGGAACCAUGCUGAUGUGUUAAACUACAACUUCCAUCAACUUCAGCCGGCACAAGAAUGAGAAUUGUAUAGUCCAGCAGACUAUCCUGGCUAUGACCUCUGUGAUAUGAAGUCCAAGACCUCUGAUGGGCCAGAGAUUUCCCACCCUUAAAGCAUAUUGGAUCAGACUGGACUCCAGGCAAUUGGGACAGGUUUUUAAAAACACACCACAAUCCAGACUACAGAUAGAAAGCCAAGCUGGAAAUGGCACAGUUGUCUAGAAACUGGCAUGAUAUGACAAAACCACGGGGAGCAGAAUAUGCUGCUAGCGCUGCACCUGUUAUCACCAGCAAAACAAAUAUAAUGUAAGUCCCUCCUCCACUUUUUUGUUUUAAACAGCAAAUUUUUCACUUUUAUCUACAGAGAAUAUGGAGUUGUUGUUCAUUUACCCACAAGAGUUGGAAAUUGUGAUAUUCCAGAC
Molecule: long non-coding RNA, 479 nt
Organism: Sceloporus undulatus (fence lizard)
Lineage: Eukaryota; Metazoa; Chordata; Lepidosauria; Squamata; Phrynosomatidae
Exons: 3
Source: RefSeq, a predicted model, not a curated record